GGGUUGUAAACUUCUUUUAUAUUAGAAUAAAGUGCAGUAUGUAUACUGUUUUGUAUGUAUAAUAUGAAUAAGGAUCGGCUAACUCCGUGCCAGCAGCCGCGGUAAUACGGAGGAUCCGAGCGUUAUCCGGAUUUAUUGGGUUUAAAGGGAGCGUAGGUGGGCUGGUAAGUCAGUUGUGAAAGUUUGCGGCUCCACCGUAAAAUUGCAGUUGAUACUGUCAGUCUUGAGUACAGUAGAGGUGGGCGGAAUUCGUGGUGUAGCGGUGAAAUGCUUAGAUAUCACGAAGAACUCCGAUUGCGAAGGCAGCUCACUGGACUGCAACUGACACUGAUGCUCGAAAGUGUGGGUAUCAAACAGGAUUAGAUACCCUGGUAGUCCACACAGUAAA
RNAcentral lists this ribosomal RNA (388 nucleotides) under uncultured bacterium. RNAcentral describes it as "bacterial SSU rRNA". It matches the Rfam family "Bacterial small subunit ribosomal RNA", at positions 420 to 806 of the family's 1533-position model. The record is from RNAcentral.